This 520-nucleotide ribosomal RNA is filed under the name uncultured bacterium. RNAcentral's name for it is "bacterial SSU rRNA". It matches the Rfam family "Bacterial small subunit ribosomal RNA", at positions 120 to 674 of the family's 1533-position model. The record is from RNAcentral.
GGGAACGUGCCUUUAGGUUCGGAAUAGCUCCUGGAAACGGGUGGUAAUGCCGAAUGUGCCCUUCGGGGGAAAGAUUUAUCGCCUUUAGAGCGGCCCGCGUCUGAUUAGCUAGUUGGUGAGGUAAUGGCUCACCAAGGCGACGAUCAGUAGCUGGUCUGAGAGGAUGACCAGCCACACUGGGACUGAGACACGGCCCAGACUCCUACGGGAGGCAGCAGUGGGGAAUCUUGCGCAAUGGGCGAAAGCCUGACGCAGCCAUGCCGCGUGAAUGAUGAAGGUCUUAGGAUUGUAAAAUUCUUUCACCGGGGACGAUAAUGACGGUACCCGGAGAAGAAGCCCCGGCUAACUUCGUGCCAGCAGCCGCGGUAAUACGAAGGGGGCUAGCGUUGCUCGGAAUUACUGGGCGUAAAGGGCGCGUAGGCGGAUCGUUAAGUCAGAGGUGAAAUCCCGGAGCUCAACUUCGGAACUGCCUUUGAUACUGGCGAUCUUGAGUGUGAGAGAGGUAUGUGGAACUCCGAGU